Molecule: long non-coding RNA, 926 nt
Organism: Mirounga angustirostris (Northern elephant seal)
Lineage: Eukaryota; Metazoa; Chordata; Mammalia; Carnivora; Phocidae
Exons: 6
Source: RefSeq, a predicted model, not a curated record
GUUGCUAACAAGUGGGGGCAGGCGCGUUCAAUGACGUCAGGCGCGCACGGUCUUCUGCGCACGCGCCCUGCCAGAAAGCACGGACGAGCUCUGCGCUUUGGUCAGAAGUAGGAAGUAAGAAAGUAAGCAAAAGAAGGUUGUGUAAAGUAAGAGCAACUAUGCUUAGGGAACCAUGAGAGAUUGGAAGCUCAUAAUUGAGUUCCUUGGUGCAAAACUGCAGAAACACAGCUAAUCAUUGGUCAAGACGGGCUUGACUUUCCCUCAGCUCAGGACCUGGGAAUCACGCGUUUGAAAUGUAAUCAUUAAAGAAGAUAGCACUCCUAUAUCCCAGUUUCUGUGGACAGGUAGGAGGAGCCCAAACUUAGCCAACUUGCAAAACUAUCUCUGGUCAUAAAGACUCAUGCAAGGUCCAGUGCGGCCGGGAAGCUACUGAACAAUUCUGCAUCAAGAUCAUCUUCCAGUAUUUCAGGUUCUCACAUUAAAGAUCCAGACAUCUUUCUGGUAUUCUAUAUCUUCCUCUAUUGAUAUGUGGAAAGAGAAGACUGAAAUGUGUGGAUCUGAGCAUGGUUGAAGAAUGUGAUUCAAGGGAAAAAAUAUCCAGUUCAUCACCGUAUGCCCUUUGGGUUUCAUACUACUGAAUCUUUAUUGCUCAAGCAAAGAUUCUUUGCCCAGAGAACCUAAGAGGACACUUAAAAAACUACAUGCUCCAUGAAGACAUUGGUUCAUGGAGUUUCAAGUGGAAGUUCACAUGUUCCAGUGGUCAAUGUAUCCAGACUGAUUUUAAAUUCCCAAAGAAAAGAAAUAUUUUCUAUCCAUAAAUCCAGCCCUGAAAACAUGAAGAACAUCUUGAAGAGCAGUGGGCACCCUUGCCUUGUUCCUGACCUGUGGUGGAAAAAUUUCUUUCACAAGUAAGUGUGAUUAUUUGU